GCGCCACAAGUAUAUUUGGGCAGCUAAGCUGUGAAAAUUUUAUUUUGAUUGGAGGAAUACAGAACUAUGCAAAACUUGGGUGUAUUUGUUUAACUUAACCUAGUUACUACAGCAGUUUCUCAAACUUCCUCAUUCAUUUAGGGGUUUAGGUAUUUGAUUGACUGGCGCCAGCAAGAACUCAUUUUGGAGAGCACCACAUACAUAACUAGGUCUCAUUCAGGCACGGUCCACACUAUUCCUAUCCACAAAGUGCUUUUGAUUUACCGGGAAAUCUUUUGACAAAGCUCUUCUCCCUUCAGGGAAGUGUGGGUGGUGGUGGUGGUGCAGGACCUAGAAGCAAAAAAGGGACACUUCUAACAAAGCCGUGAAGUUCUUCUGUGCUGUUAUAACGCGAUCUACCUAGGGAUCAUUAAUUCUCUCAAGACUCAAAAGGCUAAUAAUGAUUGCUGUGGAAAAAUACUACUUUCCCAAAAGUGCCUAUGGAUUUACAGAUCAUCCUGAAGACAGAAGCAGAAAUAUGUGGGCUACAAUAUGAAGGUCUCACUCUCUCUCCCAGGCUGUAGUGCAGUGGUGUGACCUCAGCUCACCGCAACCUCCGCCUCCUGGGCUCAAGUGAUUCUUCUGCCUCAGCCUCCCAAGUAGCGGAACCACAGGUGCCUGCCACCACACCAGGUAAACAACCACCACAGAUGCAGGAAUCUGACAGAUUAUGAAUCUGCUGCUAAUACUGCUGACUUCAGUCCCAGGCUACUCUGCCAUGAUCCAGAAAUAUGCCAAGUCUGCUCCAGGAAGCUGCUGAAUCAGGAAUCCACCUACCACAUUGGGCAGUCACUGCUAGCUGCCACCUCGGCCUUGAUCCUCGCCAGCAAAAUAUAUGCCUCAAACUUGGCUUUUUUCGUCUGUUUGAUUCAGAUUCUAAACAUUCUUGCAGGAGUAUGAAGGAACGUAAAUCAUGUUCUAGCCUCCAAUGUGUCUGAGAAAUGUAGUUUAACUUUCCAGCUGCUUCAUGUUACCGGUAGGUUAGAAUGGAUGUUGUAUAAAGCAAUUUAGGGUAUUGGACACAGCAUAAUAACGAAAAGACAGGUUCCAUUAAGACAAAUUCUUUGGUGUUUCCAAACCUUCCGUGAGCUAUCAGGAAGAGAAAGUCCUCGUAUAAGUGCCACAAAAUGAUAUACAAAUAAAAAUAAUUGUAUGCAUGCUUCCUUUCCAUCCAUGCCACUACCCCAAAACAAUUUUUUAUUUUAACCCUCUGCCCUGUGAGCUUCCUACAGUGGCAUAAAGAUUUGCAUAAUCAUGUUUAUAACAGCACUGUUAGAAAUAGCAACAAAAAGUGCUUGAGAAAGGGUAAAAAUGUUAGUAUAUCCUGCUAUGUAGCAAUUAAAAGAUAUGGAUGUAGAUACUGACAUGGAAAGAGAUCUAAGACACAUUUUAAACACAAGUUAAAGAGUAGCUUAUGAAGUCUGAUCUCACUUUUUAAAAGAAAGGUAAUUUUGGCUGGGCGCCGUGGCUCACGCCUGUAAUCCCAAAACUCUGGGAGGCCGAGGUGGGCGGAUCACGAGGUCAGGAGAUCGAGACCAUUCUGGCCAACAUGGUGAAAUCUGGUCUCUACUAAAAUACAAAAAAAUUAGCCGGGCAUGGUGGCACGCGCCUGUAGUCCCAGCUACUCAGGAGGCUGAGACAGGGGAAUCGCUUGAACCCAGGAGGCGGAGGUUGCAGUGAGCCAAGAUCACGCCACUGCACUCCAGCCUGGGCAACAAGAGUGAAACGUUGUCUCAAAAAAAAAAAAGGUAAUUUUUUAAAUGCGUUAUCUUGACGGCUUCUUUCAGAUUUUAAAUGUAGUCCAAAGAGAUAAAUAAUCUAUUUUAUAGAUGCAUACAAAAUACAAAGUUCUCUAUAAUCCUAAUCUCCCACAAUAACUGCAGUUAAUAUUUUUCUGUAUGUAUGCAUACUUUUUUCUGUAGAUAUAAAAUCUUUAGGUCACACUUUUAAAUGAAUUUAGCUUUGUUUAAAAGUCACAUUUUUAUUUUUAGGAAUAAGAUCUUGUUAUAUCAGUGCCGUAGUACUCAAGGGUGUGUCGCACUCUGAAUUUGUUUAUUUUUCCUCUGAAAAAAUCACUGGGGGCCACUGAUUUCUUCACAGGUAUGGUUUCUUUUCUUUCCUUUCGUUUUUUUUUUUUUUUUUUUAAUUAUACUUUAAGUUCUAGGCUACAUGUGCACAACGUAUAGGUUUGUUACAUAGGUAUACAUGUGCCAUGGUGGUUUGCUGCACCCAUUAACUCAUCAUUUACAUUAUGUAUUACUCCUAAUGCUGUCCCUCCCCCAGGCCCCCAGCCCCCGACAGGCCCUGGUGUGUGAUGUUCCCUGCCCUGUUUCCAUGUGUUCUCAUUGUUCAAUUCCCACCUAUGAGGGAGAACAUGCAGUGUUUGGUUUUCUGUCCUUGUGAUGGUUUGCUGAGAAUGAUGGUUUCCAGCUUUAUCCAUGUCCCUGCAAAGGACACAGGUAUGGUUUCUAUAUAUGAUAUGGUUUGGCUCUGUGUCCCCACCCAAAUCUCAUCUUGUAGCUCCCAUAAUUCCCAUGUGUUAUGGGAGGGACCCAUAGGAGAUGAUUGAAUCAUGGUGGCAGGUCUUUCCCAUGCUGUUCUCGUGAUAGUGAACAGGUUUCACGAGAUCUGAUGGUUUUUAAGUUUCUCUACACAAGCUCUCACUUUGCCUGCUGCCAUCCAUGUAAGAUGUGACUUGCUCCUCCUUUGCCUUCUGCCAUAAUUGUGAGGCCUCCCUAGCCAUGUGGAACUGUAAAUCCAAUAAGCCUCUUUCUUUUGUCAAUUGCCCAAUCUCGGGUAUGUCUUUAUCAGCAGCAUGAAAACGAACUAAUACAACAUGCUAACAUAUACAACUAAUUUGUUUAAUAAAUAUGGGUUCAGUUUUAUACAUCUUUAACUAGCAUCUCAUUUCAAAGUCUGUUGUUUUUCCAUAAGUGCUAUUUGCAGUGCAAAUAUGUCAUUUAGUCAACCCAGGACAGGCAAGGUACUUGCAAGCAUUAAACAAAAAACUGAUAUCAUAUCUCUGAGACAUAUUACAUUGCAUCAUGCUCUCUUUCUGGAACAUUUUUCUAAAAUCACAAAUUUUUAGGCAUCUAGACCAAAUACUUCAUUUUUAUAUUGCUAUACAAAGAGAAUAUAGGAGCUAUUUCAUCAUAUUUAAUAUUUUAAUAAGAGCAUCUCCAACAUGGUUUCACACCAUGCAUGCAUAUAGGUCCACCAUUGUUCUCCAUGAAAUAUGCUAUAAAACUUAAAAUAAAUUUAUCAGUUAUGCUACUACAACACAUUCAUUUUCUACUUGAGCAAAAUAUACAUAGAUGAAUAAGCUGUUUCUAGAACUGACUGCGAAAACAAAAGAUUCAAUAGCAAUGAAGUCUAGAGGUAAUAAGGCAUGUAUAGUAAUUAGUUGUAGUUAGACCUCACUGAUUCUGAAUAAGUAGAAGAAAAAAGAAAUGGAAAAUGGAAAAAGGGUAACCCAGAGAAUGAAUUAAAGCAUGGUUUUCAAACCACGGUCUUGGGACUCCUUUAUACAAUUACAAAUUAUUGAGAACUCCCAAGUAGGCUUGCUAGAUAAAAUAUUGGAUGACUAGGUAAAUUUGAAUUUCAAAUAAACAGUGAAUUAAAAACACAAGUAUGUCCCAAGUAUUACAUGGGACUCAUGUAUACUAAUAAGUAUUCAUAUUUAUUUGAAAUGUAAGUUUAUUCUGUGUCUUGUAUUUUUAUUUGGUAAAUCUGACAAAUCUUAUUUCAUUUUUUAUGCUAGAUAUAUCUGUUAGUAUUUUACAUAUUAUAAAUUAAAACAAAAAAAAAUUUGUAUUCAUUGAGUUAAGAUAACAAUAGACCUAUUACAUAAGUAACAACUUCAUGAAAAAUAUUCAUUUUUCCUAAAACAACAAACAAAUUGGCAUUGUACAUUUUUGCCAAUCUCUUUAAUGUCUAGCUUAAUAACAGACAGGUAGAUUCUCCUACCUGCGUUUGCCCUGCGAGUACUGCAUUAUGUUGCUUUGGUAAAAGUACAUGAAAAAAAUAUGGCCUCACAGAUAAAUACUUUAGAAAAGGGAAGAGUAUCUUAAUGCUUUUUCAGAAGAUUGUGGAUAUUAUUCUUUGAUGCUACACUCAAAAUUAACAACUGAUAGUUUGUUUUCUUUUCUUUUCUUUUCUUUUUUUUUCUUUUUUUUUUUUUUUUUGAGACAGUCUCACUGUGUUGCCCAGGCUAGAGUGCAGUGGCAUGAUCUCAGCUCACUGCAACCACCGCCUCCAGGGUUCAAGCGAUUCUCCUGCCUCAGCCUCCUGAGUCACUGGGACUACAGGCACACACCACCACACCCAGCUAAUUUUUUUUUUUUGUAUUUUUACUGGAAGUGGGCUUUUGCCAUGUUGGACUGGCUAGUCUCAAACUCCUGAACUCAAGUGAUCUGCCUGCCUCAGCCUCCCAAAGUGCUGGGAUACAGGCAUGAGCCACCACACCCAGCCAAUAACUAAUAGUUCCUUAAAGGUUAGUUGCAAUAAAACGUAUGAAAUCAUGGCAGUGAAUUUUUCAUACUUGGUCAUACUAAAAUCUGUUUGUCUGUCUUAUGCUUUGAAUGAUCUUUUAUUCCUGCCUUAUUUUUAAAACAUCUGAAAUCAUGGCAGUGAGUUUUUCAUACUUGCUAGUACUAAAAUCUCUCUGUCUUAUGCUUUCAAUGGAUCUUUUAUUCCUGCCUUAAUUUUAUAACAUCAUGGACAUUGGCCAUUUGAAAAACAACUGGUUUAUUGAUUUAUGUAGUUCUUUCAAUGAUCUUUACACAGUAUUGAAAAAAUCACAUUUGUUAAUAUCACCACUAAUUUCAUAAGAGGAGUCUGUUUAAGUAUUAAGAAGAUGUCAAGCUCGAGGAGGUGGAUAGAAGUUUCCCAAAAUACUAAUUUCUGCUUGAAAGUUAAAAUUUUAUCAUUGGCAAUAAAUCCUAACAAUUGUUUUGCUUGAAGUAAAUAACCGGCUCAUUUUGAUUAUUUUUAAAUAACAUUUCUGCUAAAUAUGCAAGUCUCAAUAACCAUAGACAUUUUCACAAGUAGAGAUGGUGUUCCAUAGCAAAAAAAAGUGGCUCAUUCAGCUUGUAACACAAAUGACAUUUUCCUCAUGAGAACUGUCAUACACUGGCAAACAUACUUUACAUGUAUUUCCCAUGUAAGUACAUUUUCAUCACACAAAAUUUUUAAAGUGUAUUCACAGGUAAAGGUUUAAUGAAAAUAAUGCUUAAUUAAAGAGAUUCUUAUGUGAAGUCAGCUUUUUAAUUUUCUUUUCCCUAUGAGGCUGCGGCAGUGAAGACUACAAUGACUGCUGUUACAGUCCGGUGCCGCUACCUCCAUUCAUACGAAGGUAACAGCGUGAUUGCUUUUCCACCGUCAGUUCCAAUGUCAACACAGUAGAAAGACAAAUGGCUUCAUAAUAUUAUUAUGAAAACAGUGUUUAGUUUGUGGAUCCUUGGGAAAGUCUUGGAAAUCCCUCCAAGUCUGCAACUCCAGCGUGGAGAACUGCUACUUUAAAAAUACAAAACAAUUUUGUUGUUUUCAAAAACACUUUAAAGAGCAGGUAGAUAAAAUAAAAAAUAUCAAUAUUUCUAUGUAUGUAAUAACUAAUGGACUAGAUCUAAAAAUGUUCUUAAAUGUUUAUCACCCAGCUGUUUUCUCCUUUUCACAAGAUUCCCUUAUUUAGCACCUCUUUGGGUUGUGGUGUCACCUUCUCAUUUGCUCUUCUCUUGCACAUCAGUAACUCUGUCCAUUGUCAUCUAUGUACAAAAUGAAAUCAACAUACAUGAGUGCAAGGAGAGCUCACAACUGCUUGGGUAGAUCUUGGUUUGUUUAGGGUCUUGGUUUGUUUAAGGUUAUACACAAUUUAAUGCUAUUCGUGCCCCAAUGCCAUAGUGAUACUGCUCUAGCCAACAUUCCAGAUUCAUAAGGCUUAUCAUUACGAUGUUUAAAGCUUAGGAUGUAGUCUCAUUGUCCGGAUAAGGCUCAAAUUCCUUAACAAAGUGUGCAGAGUGCCUCACACCUUGGUCCCAAUCCAACCUUUCCUUUAUUUUUCUUGUCAACAGUACAAGGGCACGCACGCACACACACACAAUUCAGCUCCACAACUUGCUAUUCCCUAAACAUACAUUAUGCUGCAAGUCCUCUGUCCCAAAUGUGUUUCCUCCAAAUUCUCAUUUACUUGGCAAAUUUCUCCCCAAACAGAUCUUUCCUCAUAACUCAUCUUCUCAAGGAAAUCUUCCAUGAACAUCUUACAAAAAAUGUCACUCAUUUCAACAUUUCAUUCUCUUCACCUCUGCUUUAUUUUAUUCCUUUUAUUUUUAGUUGAUACAUAAUAAUUAUACAUGUUUUGGGGGAAUACAGAGUGAUAUCUUGAUAUGUGUGUACAGUAUGCAAUGAUCAAAUCAGGGUAAUAAGCAUAUCCAUCAAUUCAAAUAUUUACCAUUUCUUUGCAUUGUGAACAUUCAAAAUCCUCUCUUCUAGAUUUUCGAGAAUAUACAAUAAAUUAUGGUUAACCAUAUUCACCCUACAAGGCUGCGGAACACCAGAACUCAUUACUCACAUCUAGAUGUAAUUUUGUACCCAUUAAUUGUUUUCUCCUCGCCCUACCCUCUCCCCUCUUCUUUUCAGCCUCUAAUACUCGCAAUUCUAUUUUCCACUUCUGUGGGCUCAAAUUGUCUUUCAUAGCUUCCACAUAUGAGUGAGAACAUGUGGUAUUUAUCUUUCUGUGCCUAUCUUAUUUUGUUUAGAUUAGUGCCCUCCAGACUCACCCACAUUGGCACUAAUGAUAGAAUUGCAUUCUUUUUUGUGGUUGAAUAAUAUUCUAUUGUGUAUAUAUACCACAAUUUCUUUAUUCAUUCAUCUGUUGGUGGACAUUUAAUUCCAUAUUUUCCAUAUUUUAGCUAUUGUGAAUAGUGCUGCAAUAAACAUGUGGGUGCACGCAUCCCUUUGAUAUACUUAUUUCCUUUUCUUGGAUAAGUAACCAGUAAUGGGAUUGCUGGAUCAUAAGGUAGGUCUGUUUUCGGCUUUUUGAGAAAUCUCCACACUGUUUUCUAUCAUGGCUGUACAAAGUUAGAUUCCCACUAAUAAUAUAUGAGUCCCAGCAUUUGUUAUUUCUUGUUUUUGUGAUAAUAUCCACUCUGACUUGGGUGAAAUGAUAUCUCAUUUUGGUUUUGAUUUGCUUUUCCCCAAUGAUUAGUGAUGUUGAACUUUUUUUUUCAUAUAUUUGUUGGCUAAGUGUAUAUCUUCUUUUGAGAAAUGUCUAUUGAGAUUCUUUCCCCCCUUUAAUCAGAUUAUGUAUUUAUUUUGCUGUUGAGAUGUUUGAGUUUCUUGUAUAAUCUGGGUAUUAGUUCUUUGUUGGAUAAAUAGUUUGCAAAUAUUUUCUACAGGUUGUCUCUUCACUCUGUCGAUUGUUUCCUUUACUAUGCAGAAGCUUUUCAGUUUAGUAUAGCCCCAUUUGUCUAUUGUUACUUGUGUUGCCUGUGCUUUUGAUAUCUUUGCCAUAAAAUAUUUGCCUAGACCUGUGUUCUGAAGCAUUUCUCUCGUGUUUUUGUCUAGUGGUUUUAUAGUUCGAGGUCUUUAAGUUUUUAAUUCAUUUUUGUUUACAGUGAUCUCUAUUUUAUCUUUUAUUCUCACUUCUUAUAUAUCAUAUAUUAUUUAUCUUGAUUAAUUUCUUGCCCACUAGAGGAUAUGUAUUAUGGGGGCAGAGAUUUUUGCUUGCAUUUUGCCCACAAUGGUACCUUCUGUACUUACUGGUGUUUUCUUGGUAUUUGUAGGUACUCGGUAAAUAUUUGCUGAGUGGGCCAAGUGUGGUGGCACACACCUGUAAUCUCAGCACUUAGAGAGGCUGAGGCAGGAAGAUUGAGAGCCCAAGAGCUCUAGACCAGCAUGGGCAACAUAGUAAGACCUCGUCUCUACAAAAAAUAAUUUUUAAAAAAUUAUAUGCUUGUGGUGGCACAUAUCUGUAGUCCCAGCUAUUCAGGAGGCUGAGGUGGGAGGGUCCUUGAACCCAGGAGGUCAAAACUACAGUGAGUUGAGAUUGUGCUACUGCACUCCAGCCCGGAUGACAGAGCAAGACCUUGCCUCCAAUAUAUUCAUUUGUUGAAUGAAUAAAGGAUGUCAUAUAGCACCUCUAUUAGCUUCCUUCACCUCAGAAAGUCAAAUUUAGGCACAUUUUUCUUUCUUCUCUAUUCCACACUACAUACAGCAGUAUACCAUUUGCCACUUUUUUUUUAAAUUUUAACUCUUAAAAAGUAGAAUUUCUAGCAGACUCCACACACUUUAACAUAUGUGAUUUGUUUUAUUCCUCCUCAGCUGUUGUUGCAGUGGCUGACACUAGGUAGGUAUUUUAUAAACAUCUGUCGAAAACUGAGUGAAAUACUGUGAGGCAGUUAAAACCAAAAGUGUAGAAUAAUUUGGAGCUUGCACAAAAUAAGAUGCCUUAUACAACUGGUUAAGUAAAAUAAUAAUAUUGAAUGGCCUUCUCAACAUGGUGCAGAACUAUUGUUCCCAGAAAUAAAUAGAAUAUGUAAUGCCCCUUUCUAAGUUCCAACAUGAUUAAUAUUAAACUAGGCUGCCAUGAACCAAAAUUUUUCCAGAGUUGCUCUCUUCCAACGUCUCCUGUAGUUUAGCCAUCCUCCGUCUUACUACCUCCCUUACUACGCCCAUGAGAGAAGAUCGGAUCUCAAUCAGUUGUCCUUUUGCUUUAUAGUGCUAUUUUUAUUCUUUAAACUUUAACUCAUUUAUAGAGUAGCUUUUUCUCCUUAAAGUAAUUUCAGACACCAGCCACCAAGGGGGUAUUUGUCAGAUCUUCCCUUAACCAAUGAAGUCAUGCUAUAUGAAUGCUGUUCUUGAGGGUGAGUCUGAUUUAUUCAAUUCAUUAGUCAUGAGAAAAUGCUUAUAUCUUCUAAUAUCAUGAUCCACAUUCUAUUUAAUAAAUAGAAUUGAUAAUUUUACCUAAAGGAGUUACAAAAAAAAAAAAAAAACAUUAAAUGUCCAGAUAUCUAGUUACUACAAGCCCUCCAGAAUGUAGAGAAACUAUUCUAGGAGUGAGAGGGAGCAGGAAAGGUCAGGGGACAGAAGGAGCAGCUGCAUGAGCUGUUUGAGGACCCAGUGGGUUCUUGGAGUCUGAGAAAGGACUGGAGAGGUGAAAGGGUACUGGCAAGAGUCAGAGACCAUCAGCCUGGGGCCAGAGAGGUCAGAUCUCUGAACAACAUGUGUCUGUGAGAGAGUGUCUACCUACAGUGACGACUGAACUAAAUGGUUUCCUCUCCACCUUGAUCCUGAUUACAGAAGUAGAAGAACUAACUGUGGAAAGGAGGAAAGUGAAAAUUUAAGGUUUGACUGUAUGAAAUUAAUAGUCAUUUAUGUAAAUGCUGUGUAGUUUGUUGUUUUUUCAUUUGACAAUAACAAUGUGCAUAUGAUUAAAUGUGCUUUGUUGACUAUUGUAAGUUUUAAUUUGAUAAAAAUUGCUCAUGCUUGCAGAGUCUGCUCUUAACAAACAUCAUGUUGUCUCUAUAAUUUUAAAGAAUAGAUGAAUUGUCACAAAAAUAUUUCAUACUUAGUCAUUUACUCCCAGAUGAAAGUUGGAUGCUUUAUGGAAAAUGUUACAGUAAAAGAGGGUAUUUAUGUUUCAGAUAGUCUUUUUGUAUUUUGUUUGCAUUUAAUGAUGCCUGUUAAAGUAUUCCUGGGUGACCUUUAUGAUCUUGCUGUUCAGUUUUAGGUUUCAGUGAUUGAAGUCCUUGAAAAUAUGUACCUAAGUCUAUGCAAUUUUCAACACAUCUUCUGUAGAGUCAAAAUAUGGCCUAUAAUAUGACUUUUGUUAUCCACUGCAUAAAUCUGAAAUUGAAGGUAGGAGGUUUCAACUUUCAAAAAUUUUUCAUCUACCCUGGCUUCUGUAACUUUCAUCAUUGGAAAUGUGUGGUAUAAACUGUCAAUUCCGCAGUCACUACUAAACUGGCAUGGUUUGUAAUAAUACUAUUUAAGGUGCUCAUCAAGGGAGUAAAUGUAGCCUGUUUUGAAUUAGGAAAUGUUAGAAAAGAAGGUGUUAACAUUUUCAGAGAUCAGCCUUCAACUUUGAAAAUACUCUUGGCAAAAUACUGACUGAGUUCAUUGGUCCAUUAAGCUGUAUCUUUCUGUCUGAAUCAGCUUUCCAUUUGAAUAUUGACAAAAAGGAUGACCUUGUGUUCUGACCUUUUAACCCCACGAAGCUAAUCCUGCUUUUAUUCCAAAAGGGAGGAUGGGACAGUGGAUGUCCUAAUGCUCCCAUUGUAUUCCAAAUUUAUAAACAGGUCCUUUGCCGUUUUAAUAAAAAUUAUUAACACAAUAACAACUUAGAAUUCCACAUGUCCUAAUUUGCAGUUCCACCAUAUUUAGCAUGAAAUGUUGUGCUGCACAAUAUGUUAUUAAAAUCAAUUGUCAUAGAAGUAAAAGAUGCACAUGAACAUCAUUGCCCAUCAAAUCAAUAAGCAAUAAAAUGAAACGGGUAUAUAGGGCAUUGCCCUUUACUGAAUCAAACAAGCUGGAUUUUCCCCCAACAGCCCUGUGAGACUAUUGAACUCAGUCAUAAACUAAUCAGGGAUUUUACCAGUGGUUUCAGAAUAAAAAGGAAAAAUACUCUCCUUCAUCCCUGACAACCUAACCUUUGGUGCUGAUCAGUUGAAAUAAGACAUAAUGCUCAAGAAAAGAUGUAUCUGGAGGGUCAUCUCAUGUGGAGGCUGAAGGUCAUUUCCAACAAAGCAAUCAAAUAUCUAAUAAAACCUCAAGAUCACAUCUUUGGCAUAUAGGCAAGCAGAAUAAACUAGAUAAGAGUGAAAAAACUUAGAAUCCUGUAUCUGUGGUAAGAGAUGGUUCUCUAAGCAUCAAUGUGGAGAUUGGCAAAUAUUCAUUAAACCUGACAUUGCUUAAUAUAACUAAUAAAAAAUUAAUACAUUGAGAUCACAUCAAUUUAUGAAAUGAGGAAAAACAGUUGUUUUUUUAACUCAUCAUUGAAAAAGUACACUUUUAUAAAAAUACUAUGAACUUCUUUUAAUAUUUUGAUUAAUUUGAAUUUCUGAUUGGCCCCACAAAGAUUAACUCUACUGUAAUUUUAGAAUAAACCAGUCUCUUUUUAUUGGACAAGUCAUCACCAUUUAUCGGAGAACAUGAAAAUAGGUAAAAUGAAUUUUAAUUUAUUCAAGUCAGCAUGAAAAAUAAAAUUAAAAAUAAAAAUAAAUUUGCUUUCAAAAACGUCUUACAUUGUUUUUAGGUUUGGGUAUUGGUAAGUGCAAAUCUAUUGUUCACAUGUGUUGGCAAUUUAAAGAUCUGAUUUAAAAUAGUUUAGAAAAAAUCAAAGAAAAACCCUGAAUAAAAGAUGGUUUAAAAUAUUUGUUUUAUAUAUAUA
This 11422-nucleotide long non-coding RNA is filed under the name Homo sapiens (human). RNAcentral describes it as "HSALNT0271150". The record is from RNAcentral. Lineage: Eukaryota; Metazoa; Chordata; Mammalia; Primates; Hominidae.